CCUACGGGCGGCAGCAGUGAGGAAUAUUGGUCAAUGGACGAGAGUCUGAACCAGCCAAGUAGCGUGAAGGAUGACUGCCCUAUGGGUUGUAAACUUCUUUUAUAUGGGAAUAAAAUGUUCCACGUGUGGGAUUUUGUAUGUACCAUAUGAAUAAGGAUCGGCUAACUCCGUGCCAGCAGCCGCGGUAAUACGGAGGAUACGAGCGUUAUCCGGAUUUAUUGGGUUUAAAGGGAGCGUAGGUGGAUUGUUAAGUCAGUUGUGAAAGUUUGCGGCUCAACCGGAAAAUUGCAGUUGAAACUGGCAGUCUUGAGUACAGUAGAGGUGGGCGGAAUUCGUGGUGUAGCGGUGAAAUGCUUAGAUAUCACGAAGAACUCCGAUUGCGAAGGCAGUUCACUGGACUGCAACUGACACUGAGGCUCGAAAGUGUGGGUAUCAAACAGGAUUAGAUAUCCGAGUAGUC
This 460-nucleotide ribosomal RNA is filed under the name uncultured bacterium. RNAcentral describes it as "partial 16S ribosomal RNA". It matches the Rfam family "Bacterial small subunit ribosomal RNA", at positions 338 to 795 of the family's 1533-position model. The record is from RNAcentral.